This 5755-nucleotide long non-coding RNA is filed under the name Brassica napus (rape). Its description in RNAcentral is "long non-coding RNA (BNAP_LNC024737)". The record is from RNAcentral. Lineage: Eukaryota; Viridiplantae; Streptophyta; Magnoliopsida; Brassicales; Brassicaceae.
UUAGUUUGAUGAAUCCAAAAUAAAUAAAACCAAACACCAAAUCAAAGUUGUCAAUCCCAAAGUAAAUAAAAAAGAAUACCAAAUUAAAACACCACCUGAGCUCAAAUCUUCGGAGCUCGAAUCAUCAUCACCGGAACUUAAAUCGUAAUCGCUGGAGCUCGAAUCUUCAUUGCCAGAGCUCCUUUCAUUUUCUUGGAGAAAAUCACGUGAAUCACCUUCUUUUCACUCUCAUUUUUUAGGUAAAACAAGAAAUGAAGAAGAAAAAAAUACGGGUCCUUGUAAUCCCGCAUGACCUGUUUCGUCUCAUCUCGAAAAAGUCCAGUCCUACAACAACGUGUUCCACGAUGUCUGCUAAUUUGCGGGUCUAGAAAUUCUCGGCCCAGUACCAUUCCACGACAUUUUUUUAUGGAUCAGACCUGCAGUCCAGUUCCAAAAUUGCCACCUCUACAUGCCACAUAGAUAAAUGAACAAUUGGUAUCUAUUAUUAGGCACCACGUUCAUGCUACAUGCCACAUAGAUAAAUGAACAAUUGAUAUCUAUUAUUAGGCACCACGUUCAUGUUUUCUUCAUUGGUUGACUGAUUUCAAUUGUUACAAAAUAUCACAAAAUUUUAAACUUUGAAUGUACAAAAAGCAAACAAUUCGUAAACUGUUGAGAUGGAAAAAGAAAUUAUUCAAGGCUGUAAAACAAUCUGGAUGUUCUGAUUCCUUUUAGAUCAUUUUUUAUUCCAAAAACAAAUCUAUCAGACUAUCAAAAACAAUUUCGAAGUAAAUAAUGAGAUUAAGCUCGGGUUAAAACAGGGUUUCUUAAUACAACAACAAGGACAACCCGCAAGUCACUAUGAGCCUACAGGCUUCCCGUUCAGUUUAGGGAAAGGAUCUUGCUUGCUUAGAACUACCACUUUGCUCUUGUGUGCCAAAUAACCUUUCACAAGGUUUUUGUAAAUCAAGAUCGUCAUUAUACAUUCCACCUGCAAACAAUAGUAUCAGAGCUGUGAGUUUUAUAACAUUUCUAUGCAAAGUAAUCAAAAGCAACGAAUGAGAUGGAAACGUAGAAGAAACCUCAUCGAGAUCCAUGUCUAUCUCAAGCCAUCUAAGUGCUUUAGCAAUCACUUCAAGUUUCAGUUGGUGAGCUCUUGCCGGAUCACUUAGCUUCUGGAUGAUAUAACUGAAACAUUAUUUAAAAAAAAAGAGUUAUGAAACUGUGAAACUGAAGUAAUCUGAGAGUGUUUUGUAACUACUACUUACAUUUUCUUCAUGAGUCUCUGGUAGACUUGGAGCUCCAGCUUUUCCAAGACAAGGUACACACCAGACCUCAAGAACCUGAUUAGUAUUAAAGUUGUUCAGUGAUCUAAUAAUCAAAACUAAACAAUUUUUUUAUGCGAUAGACUAACAAGGGCAUCUCCACUCUCAUUUAACCUUUAGCUCUAUAACUAACCAGUCAUUGCUGAGCUGUCAACACAGCUACAAUACACUAGAAGCCACCUACGCUAAUCACAAUGCUCGUACACUACUAGUUUAAGACAAGGACCUAACAUUAAGAUGUAGAUAAGUACAGUAAGAUGUCAACGGAAAGACAUACCUAUCUUCGUGUUCUUGAAGAGCAUGCCGAAGAAGCCUGAGAUCACCCUUUCUCAGAGCUUGCACAACAUUCAUGUACUGGACACAUAGAAAAGUUUGAUUAAGAGAGAUAAGUUUGACAUAGCACUGAGGAGUAUUUUUGAAAACAAAAAGAAUGGUUGUUACCUCAUGAAGAUUAUACUUUUGUAAGAGCUCAUCUUUUGGUAUGACUCCUAAAGAAAGUUUCACUGGUAUUAAAUACUUCAAUAUCAUCCUGAAUAUAAGCCAAUUAUCCUCAUUAAGCAAUGAAACGCAUGGGGUUAAUCACUAAUCAGAGAGUAAACCCCAAACAUACCUUAUAUUCCGUUCUCUUUUGGGGUUGCAAUGUUGUAAGGCAUAUGAUAGCUUUGUAUCAGCCUGCAAGAUUAAAACAAGAACAUGUCUUUACCAAUAUUUUCAACUAAUACUACAAAACGAACCACAGAAAAUCUAUCAGUGACUCACAGCAGGAAAAUUCUCGUUGAAGACUUCUAAUCUUCCGGUAUAGUACAUAUAUGUAACCUGCAGAGUUAGUGGAGAAAAAGAAAAGCAUAAGAUAAAUGCAUAACUGAAUCAGGAGGCCAGAAACUAAAACAGCACAGGACCUUGUCUCUUCUCGGAAACUCUUCAAAGUCAAAUAUCCGAGCAGUCUCAAUACUUCUUAUUACACUUCGACAAAGAUUGACAGUUCCAAGCUGAAAUAGAGAAACAAGGGGACACAUUUUUAGUAAAUGGUUGAUCAUAUUACAAGAACUAAUAUACCAGCCCUUCUGCUUAUAAUUCCCUUCAUGGCUUCCAUGUUGGUUGGCCUUGUUUGAGGUAAUAAGCUUCAUAAUUUAUUGAUUUGUAGAGAUACUCUUAUAUGUUCCAUGAGAAAGUUCAUUCGACCAUCUGUUUUUAAAUGGUUUGGUGACUUUGAUUGGUUUUUUUCUUUGUUUCAGUUUUGACAUUUUAGGUGAUAAGUUGGGUUUGAACCGAACUGAGUUUCCUCACACAUUUGUAUAUGGUGGCUGGGACUCAGGUCAAUCUUGUAGUACCUUUAUAUCUUCAUAUGUUUUUUUUUGCUGUAGAAUCUUACGUUUAGUUGUUGAAAUCAUGUGAAUGGUUUUUAUCCCCUCCAUUUUAGGCUGAGAAAGCACUUUGGAACUCCAUAGGAUUGUUUAAAAUCAGCAACGUAUCUGGUAAGAGACGUGAUGUAGUACCCAAGACGCUAGUGAAUGGUGAUGAUGGUAUGGAGGAUGAGGAUGAUGAAGAUGAGGACAGUGAUAGCGAUGAGGAAAGCGAAGAUGGAGCUUCCUCUGUUCCUAAUAUUUAGGUAAUGUUCACCUAGUCGAUAGAGUCAUCAUGGUUAAUGCUUUGCCUCAAACAAAAUUUGGGUAUGCAGGUUCGCAGGGUUUCUCACCAUGGAUGUGCCAACCGCAUACGUGCAAUGCCUCAAAAUCCUCAUAUCUGUGUCUCUUGGGCAGAUUAUGCUCAAGUACAGGUAUGAUAUUGUCCAUAUUAUGUUUUUGUCUACUUGCUGUACAUGAUUAUAUGUGUCUCUUAUAAACUGGUUUAUGGUUUUGUAUUUGUGGGACAUGAGUUCUCAUCUAAAUGCUUUAGCAGAAUCAGAAACAGAAGGCAAAGGCAAAUAUGGAACUUCACCGAUUCUUAACCAAGCACCCUUAGUUAACUUUUCUGGCCACAAAGAUGAAGGCUAUGCUUUAGAUUGGAGUCCUGCUACCGCUGGAAGACUUCUCUCCGGUAUAGUUUGUCUCAGAAAUUUUAACAAUACUCAGCUUUUCAACUUAGUCAGUGUGUUUUAAAUUCUUUUCUUAAUCUUUUAGGGGACUGCAUGAGUAUGAUUCAUUUGUGGGAGCCAGCUUCUGGUUCAUGGACUGUUGAUCCUAUUCCCUUAUCUGGACACACCGCAAGUGUUGAAGAUAUACAAGUAAGACUGUUGCUUUGCAGCUAAAUUGUGUGUUGACUGUUACUGUCUCCUUUCGGCUUAAUAUUCUUUCCUCUGUUUCCAGUGGAGUCCAGGUGAAGCCAACGUGUUUGCGUCUUGUUCUGUGGAUGGGACUGUUGCGCUAUGGGAUGUCCGAAGCGGGAAGUAGCCUGCAUUAUCUUUCAAGGUACAUAAGGCAGAUGUGAAUGUCAUCUCAUGGAACAGGUUCUCUUCCCACUUUGAUGUGUAACUUGGUUUUGUGCUGCUUGCAAAUUGGCUCAUUCGUUGUAUUUCCUCUUUCAUGAAGGCUGGCUAGUUGCAUGUUGGCAUCAGGGAGUGAUGACGGGACGUUCUCUAUACAUGAUCUUAGAGUUAUAAAGGUACUCUGAAGACCGUAGGUUUUAUAAUUUUCAUAUCAAUAUCUUAACAAGAUUCUGAUGUGAUAGAAUUUGAAUCUUGAACUAGGAUAAGGAUAAAGCUAAGGUAGCUCAUUUUGGGUAUCAUAAGCAUCCUAUUACGUCGAUUGAGUGGAGCGCUCAUGAAUCCUCGACACUUGCAGUCUCUUCUGGCGAUAACCAGCUCACGUAAGCCACAAAGCUUAUACAGAAAACAUUGAUAAUCCCCAAUAAAAUCCAUAACACUGUCUAAUGUUUUUUUUGGCUAUUUGUUGAAUCUGCAGGAUAUGGGAUUUAUCCUUAGAGAAGGAUGAAGAAGAGUUCAAAGCACAGAGCAAGGAACAAGUCAACACACCUCAAGACUUGCCUCCUCAGCUACUCUUCGUUCACCAGGGGCAAAAGGACUUGAAGGAACUUCACUGGCACAACCAGAUUCCAGGGAUGAUCGUCUCAACUGCGGCUGAUGGUUUCAACAUCUUGAUGCCUUACAAGAUUCAAAACACACUUCCUGAUCUCGCUGCUUGAAAAGAUUAAGUCUUUUGUCAAAUGAAACACUUUUGAAGUAUUGUAGUAUCUUUGAAUCUGUUUUUCUACUUAAUUAUUUUUUGUUUCCAGAACGUACUCUUUUACAAUUCUCAAGGUUUCAUCAUCCGUUGUUUUGACUAAUGUAAAUUUUGAAAUGCAUUCUCUUAGGCCUAGGCAUUCAAAUUCGGUUGAUUUUUAGUACUAUGCUCAUAAAAUUUGAGAUGAUUAUCCAAAAAAUCUAAAAGCUACAGCAAAUUCUCUAAAAAUAUUGUCAAAGCUGAAAAUGAAAUUUUACUAAUAGUUUUAUCAGUGAAAUAAAACUUUGAAUAUUUUCGUUCUUGGAAAAAAGAAUUGACAUUCAAUUUUUUUUUAUUGAGAUUUCAAUAAGUUGAAAUAAAAUGAGAAGAGAAAACACUGUUUUAGUAAAGGAAGCUUAUGUUGAUGAGAAAAUCCUUCUUUCAUUUGGUUAAUUAUGAGAAUCAGAAUAAGAAGACAACAAAACUUUUUUUUCUUCUUGCGGGUCAAAUUUUUGAGUAAACAAAAAGACUCAACCCACAGCAUGGCGGGUCGGGCGGGGUGAGUUUGACCCGCUUCCUAGACCUAACGCUCUAUAACUUGAAACUCCAUAUGAUCUCUCAUAUUUGUAGUAAAUUAAAAUAAUAUAUAUACAUAUAAAAUUACACAUUUAUAUAAAAUUUGUAAAAUCACCCGCACUUUUAAAGCAAGAGUCAAAAUCUAGUUUGUUAUUUAAAACAAUAAUUGUAGUUAAUUUUGUCACACUCCAAAUAUAUUAACAUACCAACUAAAGAUAAUUGCAGAAAAUGUUUUUCAUUAGCUUAUAACUCAUAAAUUCAUAACCAAUUUUUUAGUUUGAUGAAUCCAAAAUAAAUAAAACCAAACACCAAAUCAAAGUUGUCAAUCCCAAAGUAAAUAAAAAAGAAUACCAAAUUAAAACACCACCUGAGCUCAAAUCUUCGGAGCUCGAAUCAUCAUCACCGGAACUUAAAUCGUAAUCGCUGGAGCUCGAAUCUUCAUUGCCAGAGCUCCUUUCAUUUUCUUGGAGAAAAUCACGUGAAUCACCUUCUUUUCACUCUCAUUUUUUAGGUAAAACAAGAAAUGAAGAAGAAAAAAAUACGGGUCCUUGUAAUCCCGCAUGACCUGUUUCGUCUCAUCUCGAAAAAGUCCAGUCCUACAACAACGUGUUCCACGAUGUCUGCUAAUUUGCGGGUCUAGAAAUUCUCGGCCCAGUACCAUUCCACGACAUUUUUUUAUGGAUCAGACCUGCAGUCCAGUUCCAAAAUUGCCACCUC